This 211-nucleotide unclassified non-coding RNA is filed under the name plant metagenome. RNAcentral describes it as "partial contains small subunit ribosomal RNA, internal transcribed spacer 1, and 5.8S ribosomal RNA". The record is from RNAcentral.
UUUCCGUAGGUGAACCUGCGGAAGGAUCAUUCAUAAUAAAGUGUUUUAUGGCACUUUUUAAAAAUCCAUAUCCACCUUGUGUGCAAUGUUAGAUCUCGUCAAUCUUGGCGAGAUUUUUAUACAUCAACUUAUUCUUUAACUAAUUUGUCUGAAAAAUAUUAUGAAUACUUAAUUCAAAAUACAACUUUCAACAACGGAUCUCUUGGCUCUC